Molecule: ribosomal RNA, 526 nt
Filed under: Penicillium thomii
Lineage: Eukaryota; Fungi; Ascomycota; Eurotiomycetes; Eurotiales; Aspergillaceae
Description: eukaryotic LSU rRNA
Rfam family: 5.8S ribosomal RNA (bases 160-313)
Source: RNAcentral
ACUCUUGGUCACCUCCCACCCGUGUUUAUUGUACCUUGUUGCUUCGGUGCGCCCGCCUCACGGCCGCCGGGGGGCUUCUGCCCCCGGGUCCGCGCGCACCGGAGACACCAUUGAACUCUGUCUGAAGAUUGCAGUCUGAGCAUAAACUAAAUAAGUUAAAACUUUCAACAACGGAUCUCUUGGUUCCGGCAUCGAUGAAGAACGCAGCGAAAUGCGAUAACUAAUGUGAAUUGCAGAAUUCAGUGAAUCAUCGAGUCUUUGAACGCACAUUGCGCCCCCUGGUAUUCCGGGGGGCAUGCCUGUCCGAGCGUCAUUGCUGCCCUCAAGCACGGCUUGUGUGUUGGGCUCCGUCCCCCCGGGGACGGGUCCGAAAGGCAGCGGCGGCACCGAGUCCGGUCCUCGAGCGUAUGGGGCUUUGUCACCCGCUCUGUAGGCCCGGCCGGCGCCAGCCGACAACCAAUCAUCCUUUUUUCAGGUUGACCUCGGAUCAGGUAGGGAUACCCGCUGAACUUAAGCAUAUCAAUAA